This 403-nucleotide ribosomal RNA is filed under the name bacterium. Its description in RNAcentral is "partial 16S ribosomal RNA". It matches the Rfam family "Bacterial small subunit ribosomal RNA", at positions 355 to 776 of the family's 1533-position model. The record is from RNAcentral.
UGGGGAAUAUUGCACAAUGGGGGAAACCCUGAUGCAGCGACGCCGCGUGAACGAAGAAGGUAUUCGUAUCGUAAAGUUCUGUCCUAUGGGAAGAUAAUGACAGUACCAUAGAAGAAAGCUCCGGCUAAAUACGUGCCAGCAGCCGCGGUAAUACGUAUGGAGCGAGCGUUGUCCGGAAUUAUUGGGCGUAAAGGGUACGCAGGCGGUUUAAUAAGUCGAAUGUUAAAGAUCGGGGCUCAACCCCGCAAAGCAUUGGAAACUGAUAAACUGGAGUAGUGGAGAGGAAAGUGGAAUUCCUAGUGUAGUGGUGAAAUACGUAGAUAUUAGGAGGAAUACCAGUAGCGAAGGCGACUUUCUGGACACAAACUGACGCUGAGGUACGAAAGGGUGGGGAGCAAACAGG